This is an RNA transcript of Callithrix jacchus (white-tufted-ear marmoset), 1404 nucleotides long. It is a transcript of the gene named SWI/SNF-related matrix-associated actin-dependent regulator of chromatin subfamily E member 1 pseudogene, with no coding region annotated. The record is from RefSeq and is a predicted model, not a curated record. Lineage: Eukaryota; Metazoa; Chordata; Mammalia; Primates; Cebidae.
GGUGCGCGGGACAAAGGGAAGCGAAGCCGGAGCUGCGGGCGCUUUUUCUGCCCGCGGUGUCUCAGAUUCAUUCUUAAGGAACUGAGAACUUAAUCUUCCAAAAUGUCAAAAAGACCAUCUUAUGCCCCACCUCCCACCCCAGCUCCUGCAACACAAAUGCCCAGCACACCAGGGUUUGUGGGAUACAAUCCAUACAGUCAUCUCGCCUACAACAACUACAGGCUGGGAGGGAACCCGGGCACCAACAGCCGGGUCACGGCAUCCUCUGGUAUUACGAUUCCAAAACCCCCAAAGCCACCAGAUAAGCCGCUGAUGCCCUACAUGAGGUACAGCAGAAAGGUCUGGGACCAAGUAAAGGCUUCCAACCCUGACCUAAAGUUGUGGGAGAUUGGCAAGAUUAUUGGUGGCAUGUGGCGAGAUCUCACUGAUGAAGAAAAACAAGAAUAUUUAAACGAAUACGAAGCAGAAAAGAUAGAGUACAAUGAAUCUAUGAAGGCCUAUCAUAAUUCCCCCGCGUACCUUGCUUACAUAAAUGCAAAAAGUCGUGCAGAAGCUGCUUUAGAGGAAGAAAGUCGACAGAGACAGUCUCACAUGGAGAAAGGAGAACCGUACAUGAGCAUUCAGCCUGCUGAAGAUCCAGAUGAUUACGAUGAUGGCUUUUCAAUGAAGCAUACAGCCACCGCCCGUUUCCAGAGAAACCACCGCCUCAUCAGUGAAAUCCUUAGUGAGAGUGUGGUGCCAGACGUUCGGUCAGUUGUCACAACAGCUAGAAUGCAGGUCCUCAAACGACAGGUCCAGUCCUUAAUGGUUCAUCAGCGAAAACUAGAAGCUGAACUUCUUCAGAUAGAGGAACGACACCAGGAGAAGAAGAGGAAAUUCCUGGAAAGCACAGAUUCGUUUAACAAUGAACUUAAAAGGUUGUGCCGUCUGAAAGUAGAAGUGGAUAUGGAGAAAAUUGCAGCUGAGAUUGCACAGGCAGAGGAACAGGCCCGCAAAAGGCAGGAGGAAAGGGAGAAGGAGGCAGCAAAGCAAGCUGAACGCAGUCAGAGCAGCAUCGUUCCUGAGGAAGAACAAGCAGCCAACAAAGGCGAGGAGAAGAAGGACGACUAGAACAUUCCAAUGGAGACAGAGGAGACACACCUUGAAGAAACGACAGAGAACCAACAAAACGGUGAAGAAGGCACGUCUACUCCUGAGGACAAGGAGAGUGGGCAGGAGGGGGUCGACAGUAUGGCAGAGGAAGGAACCAGUGAUAGCAACACUGGCUCGGAGAGCAACAGUGCAACAGUGGAGGAGCCCCCAACAGAUCCCAUACCAGAAGAUGAGAAAAAAGAAUAAAUGUUGCCUUGUUUUAUGUGUUCUAAAUACUUUUUUAAAUGAAAAAAUGUUUUUUGGUUUAAAAAA